GUAGGUGGCAAGCGUUGUCCGGAAUUAUUGGGCGUAAAGCGCGCGCAGGUGGGUUCUUUAAGUCUGAUGUGAAAGCCCCCGGGCUCAACCGGGGGAGGGUCAUUGGAAACUGGGGAACUUGAGUGCAGGAGAGGAAAGUGGAAUUCCACGUGUAGCGGUGAAAUGCGUAGAUAUGUGGAGGAACACCAGUGGCGAAGGCGACUUUCUGGCCUGUAACUGACACUGAGGCGCGAAAGCGUGGGGAGCAAACAGGAUUAGAUACCCUGGUAGUCCACGCCGUAAACGAUGAGUGCUAAGUGUUGGGGGGGUUUCCGCCCCUCAGUGCUGCAGCUAACGCAUUAAGCACUCCGCCUGGGGAGUACGGUCGCAAAGACUG
RNAcentral lists this ribosomal RNA (376 nucleotides) under uncultured organism. RNAcentral's name for it is "partial 16S ribosomal RNA". It matches the Rfam family "Bacterial small subunit ribosomal RNA", at positions 527 to 896 of the family's 1533-position model. The record is from RNAcentral.